Molecule: ribosomal RNA, 774 nt
Filed under: uncultured Neocallimastigales
Lineage: Eukaryota; Fungi; Neocallimastigomycota; Neocallimastigomycetes; Neocallimastigales
Description: partial large subunit ribosomal RNA
Rfam family: Eukaryotic large subunit ribosomal RNA
Source: RNAcentral
GUACACGCUGUGACUAGCAUAUCAAUAAGCGGAGGAAAAGAAACUAACAAGGAUUCCCUCAGUAACGGCGAGUGAAGCGGGAAGAGCUCAAAUUUGAAAUCUUGAAAGGUCACCUUUCACGAAUUGUAGCUUAAAGAAGUGUUUUCUGUUACGAUCGUAAUAUAAGUUCCUUGGAAUAGGACAUCAUAGAGGGUGAGAAUCCCGUAUUUGACCAUUAUUUUCAGCUUUGUGAUACACUUUCAAAGAGUCGGAUUGUUUGGGAAUGCAGUCCAAAAUGGGUGGUAAAUUUCAUCUAAAGCUAAAUAUUGGCGAGAGACCGAUAGCCAACAAGUACCGUGAGGGAAAGAUGAAAAGAACUUUGAAAAGAGAGUUAAAUAGUACGUGAAAUUGUCAAAAGGGAAGCGUUUAACACCAGUGUUGUUUUCUCGAAAAUCAAUUAAAAAUGGCUCGAUUUUGUAUUGCUGAGACCUUAAAAGCUCACUGUACAUUUUUCGUGUCUUUUUUAAUGCACUUUUCGUUUAACGAGUCAACAUCAGUUUCUUUUGUUGUAAAAGGGUCAUUGGAAGGUGGCUUUCUUUUCGGAGAAAGUGUUUAUAGCCUUUGGCCUCUGCAAUCGGAGAGACUGAGGUCUGCAGCGUAGACUCUUCGGGGUUAGAUACAUUUGUGCUAAGUUAUAGCUUUUUAUAGACAACUUGUUGACUAUAAUUAGUCUUGUAGCUUACUCGCUUAUGCUAUUUUACCUACGCUUAGGAUGUUGAGUAGCGACAUACGCAC